UACGUUUAUUUUCUCCAUAUUUGUUAACUAUCAUACUGGUAACUUUAUAUAGAAGUAUUUACAGUCGCGUUUCAUACUGGUAACCCGGUAUUCAACCUCCAUCCACGGGGACCGAAGGAGUCUUGCGCGGGGUUUCAGCAGCGCCGUCGCGGUAAGAUUUCAAACAUUCUCCGUCGCUAUAGCACCUGAGGACAGAAGUUGUUCACGUUAUUUCGAGUUUUUGUACACAGCAGGUGCGAAGGCGGUAUGUGAGGAGCUACAGUUCAUUGUAUUAGUACAUUGACGGUUGUUUGUUUAAUAUUGAACAUCGCGCCCGCCCUAGACACGGUAAAAGUUACAUGCUUCGACUGUUGGGAUUCACGGGAAUUUACUAUUGAAUACCACACUCGGUCGUGAUUAUUUUGUGUUGUAAUUCAAAUUUGCAAAUGCAGUUAUCCGUUAAACCGAGCGCCCAAAUUAAAACGAGUCACCAAAGCUUGCGGUAGGUCGAUGUUCACGGAGGAUAUCCCAGUAAAGUGAUUAAUGUACGUAACGAGCUAGAUAUACAGUGUACAUAACGGAGGCCAGCUGAGAGCUUGAGCAAAAGACGUUAGCCACACCCUUAUCGUUAGAGCAGGACUGUCUCCCAAAUACGACCGUUAGAGGGUAGGAGUGAGACGGCCCGUUACAAAUAACAGUGUGACAAUUUCUUGAUCGUGACAUCCCUUACGUAAAUGGCUUACAUUUCUGUAUAAGUACGGUUUUAAGUGUAAGUUACUCUGUGUAAUUUGCUUAGAGUUUGUUUGUAGAAUCACUUAUACUUAAAUGUAGUUUAAAUGUAAAAAGCUUAAAGAUAAAAUUGUAUUGUAUCUAUUAACUAUUGUCACAUGUGGUAUUGUUUGUUUUAGGACACACUUUGCCAUGCAGGCCACUGGAUGCUGACUACUGAAGGUUAGGUUGUGUGUGACGGUGCUCAGCACAGCUUCAUGUCUGGCCUUCCCACUCUGAUCAUAGCAUGUUAAAUAUUCAAUCUUCAGUACCAGGAUGGGGGAGCGUCUAUCGUGGAGUCCACUGAAAGAUAUUAAUCCAGAGAGUGGAACAAGAAGAAGCGUCAUCUAAAAUGCCAGGAUACAGAAGUAACAGGUUGCAGUGAAACCACAUGUUGCCGCUCUUCUAAACACAAUGAUGAAUUUUCAGUGAAAUCGAUGAAAAUUCCAGCUACUUGUUGUGCUCUGAUGGAUCAAGAUGUGGAACGUUUUACAGACUCACUUGGGCUUUGUUAUGCGAUGUUGUUACAUCAUGGAUAUGUUGGUUAAGGUAUUGUUUAAACAUUCAUUGUUUAAAGAGCCAUGUUGGCUACUAUGAAGUUGUAACUGAAUAAAAAUAUUUUAUGUACAACAAGGUACAAAAUUUGUCUGUAAUUUAUUUUUGUAUCAAUUAAAACAUAAAUAAACAGUGUAAAUCCAGUAUGCAACAACUACUGGAUAUACAGUGAUUAUGUAUUUCUUCUAAAUAAAGUAAAUUAAAAUCAAGCAAUUGGCUGUAAAAAAUACAGCAUUAUACUGUUUCUAUUCAAAAUUACAGUUUUUUCCUGUAUUAUGCAAUUACAGAAAAUGGCUGUAAAUUAAAUUACAGAACUGUGGCUGUAAAAUUUACAG
This is a long non-coding RNA of Triplophysa dalaica, 1637 nucleotides long. RefSeq lists it as uncharacterized. The transcript is spliced from 3 exons. The record is from RefSeq and is a predicted model, not a curated record. Lineage: Eukaryota; Metazoa; Chordata; Actinopteri; Cypriniformes; Nemacheilidae.